This 492-nucleotide ribosomal RNA is filed under the name uncultured bacterium. RNAcentral describes it as "partial 16S ribosomal RNA". It matches the Rfam family "Bacterial small subunit ribosomal RNA", at positions 29 to 507 of the family's 1533-position model. The record is from RNAcentral.
AGUGAACGCUGGCGGCAUGCCUAACACAUGCAAGUCGAACGGCAGCACAGUAAGAGCUUGCUCUUACGGGUGGCCGGUGGCGGACGUGUUAGAAAUACAUCUGAAUCGACGUUUUCGAUGGGGCUAACGUAGGGAAGCUUAUACUACUACCGCAUACGACCUGCGGGUGAAAGCAGUUGAUCUUCGGACCUUUCGCGAUGGAAUGAGCCGAUGUCGGAUUAGCUAGUUGGCGGGGUAAAGGCCUACCAAGGCGACGAUCCGUAGCUGGUCUGAGAGGAUGAUCAGCCACACUGGGACUGAGACACGGUCCAGACUCCUACGGGAGGCAGCAGUGGGGAAUAUUGGACAAUGGGCGAAAGCCUGAUCCAGCAAUGCCGCGUGUGUGAAGAAGGCCUUCGGGUUGUAAAGCCCUUUUGUUCGGAAAGAAAACCAGCACGUUAAUACAGCGGGGUUAUGACGGUACCGAAAGAAUAAGCACCGGCUAACUUCGUG